GUUUAUAUAGUUUAAUAAAAUAUUAUUUUUUCAUAAUAAAGUUAAUCAAUAGAUUUAUAAAUU
Molecule: transfer RNA, 63 nt
Filed under: Fuelleborniella sp. FuspCA
Lineage: Eukaryota; Metazoa; Arthropoda; Insecta; Psocodea; Caeciliusidae
Description: tRNA-Glu
Source: RNAcentral